Gymnodraco acuticeps is the source of this 552-nucleotide long non-coding RNA. RefSeq lists it as uncharacterized. The transcript is spliced from 3 exons. NCBI's taxonomy places the organism in Eukaryota, Metazoa, Chordata, Actinopteri, Perciformes, Bathydraconidae. The record is from RefSeq and is a predicted model, not a curated record.
GCUAUCAGAAGGACGAGGCUCGGGUGACUGGAGACUGCGGGGCUCACGGUUCGUGUCGCUACCAGUCCGCUGACAUGGCGCAUCAAUCAACGGUGACCAGGUGAUGCAGACAGGCUGGACCAGAGAGUGAGAGACAGAACUGGACUCCUCACAGCAGUGAACUUCAGCACAGGAAAGGACAUGCCUGAAAGACACGACAUCUUCUCCUUCUCUGAGGGUCAAGAAGAACAUCCAAGAGGAACAUUAAAAGCUGAUGUUAUGAGAUGUUAAGACCAGUACAGGACAUUCACUAAGAAACUACUUUUAUUGUGAACAAAAAAAUCUGCACACCGAAUAUUUUUGUAGUCUAUCAGGACCAUCAUUUGUUUGUGACGCUGCCUGCACCUCAGAGAAGGGGUGGUUAUAGUCAGGCUUAUAAAGUGUGGCGAAAAACAUAGUCAGCUGAUGGGAUGCAUCUAUUUCCACAUCUACACUCCACCAGCUGAUUAUUUCUAUUUGUCUCGCUUUAUGAGCUUCACAUCACCUGUGCCUUGUACCGCAGAGUUUGCAACG